RNAcentral lists this ribosomal RNA (301 nucleotides) under uncultured bacterium. RNAcentral describes it as "partial 16S ribosomal RNA". It matches the Rfam family "Bacterial small subunit ribosomal RNA", at positions 509 to 807 of the family's 1533-position model. The record is from RNAcentral.
CAGCAGCCGCGGUAAUACGUAGGGUGCAAGCGUUAAUCGGAAUUACUGGGCGUAAAGCGUACACAGGCGGUUAUAUAAGUCAGAUGUGAAAUCCCCGGGCUCAACCUGGGAACUGCAUUUGAGACUGUAUGGCUAGAGUGUGUCAGAGGGGGGUAGAAUUCCACGUGUAGCAGUGAAAUGCGUAGAUAUGUGGAGGAAUACCGAUGGCGAAGGCAGCCCCCUGGGCCAAUACUGACGCUCAUGCACGAAAGCGUGGGGAGCAAACAGGAUUAGAUACCCGCGUAGUCCCUGUCUCUUAUAC